GGCCAGUAGCCAGCCCACAGGCCUACAGCAAGCCACAGCCUGCCAGCCGCAGCCUGCCAGCCGCAGUCAGCAAGCCCACAGCCUGCCGGCAGUAGCCAGCAAGCCCACAGCCUGCCAGCUGCAGCCAGCAAGCCCACAGACUGCCAGCCAGCAACAGUAAUUAAGGUAAGAGGAGCCAACUUGGCUUAGGUAUCAGCGAGCUAUGUUGUGUUGCUAUAUUGUGAAU
This is a non-coding RNA of Pelobates cultripes (western spadefoot toad), 226 nucleotides long. The record is from the annotation of a GenBank genome assembly. NCBI's taxonomy places the organism in Eukaryota, Metazoa, Chordata, Amphibia, Anura, Pelobatidae.